CAUUAGGACUGUUUAAAUUCUUGUGCUUUAAAGAUGACCCAUGUCUAAUAAGUUAUAGUCGAGGCAGCCAUUCUGCUUUAUCAUCUGCUGUUAGUUUACAGCUCUUCCAAACAAGCAUCAAGUUCCCCUGCUGAAAUCCCAGACCACUGAACAAACCUGGCUCUUGUGCCAUCGCAGCUUCCAUAAAUGUAAUGGUCAGCACACUGAUGAUAAAAGCCCUGUUCCUUAUUGACUACUGACAGAAGAUGCACAGUGUCUGCACAAGUGCUUGUUUUACCAGUUACCUAAGCACUGACAGCUUCUAAUCUGCCCAACUCAAAGGUAUGAUUCAGUUCAAGAAACUGUCUGUUUGUUACUGGGGAGCAGAUAGGAAUUUGUUGCUGGCACAAAAUGUUGCUUCGUGCAGAUGAUGAAUAAAACCAUGACAAGCCAUUGGAAA
Molecule: long non-coding RNA, 439 nt
Organism: Pezoporus flaviventris
Lineage: Eukaryota; Metazoa; Chordata; Aves; Psittaciformes; Psittacidae
Exons: 2
Source: RefSeq, a predicted model, not a curated record